Molecule: non-coding RNA, 106 nt
Organism: Acanthosepion pharaonis
Lineage: Eukaryota; Metazoa; Mollusca; Cephalopoda; Sepiida; Sepiidae
Source: the annotation of a GenBank genome assembly
AUGUCCAUAUCAUGUUCAAACACCGGUUCUCCUACGAUCACUGAAGUUAAGCAACGUCCAAGUUAGUACCUUGAUGGGUGACAAAUUGGGAAUAACAGGUGCUGUA